GACAAAGAGAUAAAGAGAAAGCAGCUGGGCCC
Molecule: non-coding RNA, 32 nt
Filed under: Homo sapiens (human)
Lineage: Eukaryota; Metazoa; Chordata; Mammalia; Primates; Hominidae
Source: RNAcentral